GGGGAUUUAGCUCAGCGGCAUAAGCGCCUGCCUUGCAAGCAGGCAGUCGUGAGUUCAAUCUCCG
Cavia porcellus (domestic guinea pig) is the source of this 64-nucleotide transfer RNA. It matches the Rfam family "tRNA". From Rfam's summary of the family: Transfer RNA (tRNA) molecules are approximately 80 nucleotides in length. NCBI's taxonomy places the organism in Eukaryota, Metazoa, Chordata, Mammalia, Rodentia, Caviidae. The record is from Rfam.